GACGAACGCUGGCGGCGUGCUUAACACAUGCAAGUCGAGCGGUAAGGCCCUUUCGGGGGUACACGAGCGGCGAACGGGUGAGUAACACGUGGGUGACCUGCCCUCAGCUCUGGGAUAAGCCUGGGAAACCGGGUCUAAUACUGGAUAUGACUCCAUGACGCAUGUUGUGGGGUGGAAAGCCUUGUGCGGCUGAGGAUGGGCCCGCGGCCUAUCAGCUUGUUGGUGGGGUGANGGCCUACCAAGGCGACGACGGGUAGCCGGCCUGAGAGGGCGACCGGCCACACUGGGACUGAGACACGGCCCAGACUCCUACGGGAGGCAGCAGUGGGGAAUAUUGGACAAUGGGCGCAAGCCUGAUCCAGCCAUGCCGCGUGAGUGAUGAAGGCCU
This 388-nucleotide ribosomal RNA is filed under the name uncultured bacterium. RNAcentral's name for it is "bacterial SSU rRNA". It matches the Rfam family "Bacterial small subunit ribosomal RNA", at positions 28 to 417 of the family's 1533-position model. The record is from RNAcentral.